RNAcentral lists this ribosomal RNA (253 nucleotides) under uncultured bacterium. Its description in RNAcentral is "partial 16S ribosomal RNA". It matches the Rfam family "Bacterial small subunit ribosomal RNA", at positions 524 to 776 of the family's 1533-position model. The record is from RNAcentral.
UACGAAGGGGGCUAGCGUUGCUCGGAAUCACUGGGCGUAAAGGGUGCGUAGGCGGGUUUUUAAGUCAGGGGUGAAAUCCUGGAGCUCAACUCCAGAACUGCCUUUGAUACUGAAGAUCUCGAGUCCGGGAGAGGUGAGUGGAACUGCGAGUGUAGAGGUGAAAUUCGUAGAUAUUCGCAAGAACACCAGUGGCGAAGGCGGCUCACUGGCCCGGUACUGACGCUGAGGCACGAAAGCGUGGGGAGCGAACAGG